GUGCUCGCUUUGGCAGCACAUAUAUUAAAAUUAGAAUGAUAUAGAGAAGAUUAACAAAGCCCUCUCGCAAAGAUGACAUGACACGCAAAUUCGUGAAGCGUUCCAUAAAAAC
Small nuclear RNA from Dipodomys spectabilis (banner-tailed kangaroo rat), 112 nucleotides. The record is from RefSeq and is a predicted model, not a curated record. NCBI's taxonomy places the organism in Eukaryota, Metazoa, Chordata, Mammalia, Rodentia, Heteromyidae.